GAUGAACACUUGUUGCGUGCCUAAUACCUGCAUGGCGAGCGAACAGACCACGAACUUGCUCCUCUGAAGUUAGCGACCGACGGCCGAGUAACAGGCGGAUAACCUACCUAUAAUACUGGUAUAACUGCCGGAAACCGGAGCUCAUACCGGAGAAUAUAGUGAACCGCCCGGUUCAUUAGGGAAAUACUGAUUUGCUGUCACCUAUACAUGGAUCCGAGCCGAAUUAGCUAGUCGGUCAUGAAACCGCUUACCAAUGCUACGAUGCUUAGCCGACCUGAGACGUCUGAUCGGCCACUCUGGAACUGACACACGGACCAGACUCCAACAGGACGUGCCACUACUGAAUCUUCCGCACUGAGGGAAAGACUGACUCAACCCCGACGCGUGAGUGGUGAAGGCCUUCGGAUGGUCUUCCUCUGGCAUCAAAGAAGAACACAUGCGCCACCAACUGUGCACGUCCUGACCGAACCUAUUCAGAUAGACACUGGUAACUACACGCCACCAGCCGCGGGAAUACUGAGGUGGCUAGCGUUCUCCAGAAUUGUUGAGACUCUCGCGCGCGUAGGCCGCUUUUUACGUCUGAUACGAAAGCCGACUGCUCACCCGUGCACGGUCAUUGCAUACUGUCCUACUUGACUGCAGAUGCACAAAGAGCAAUUCCCUGCGUCGCGGUGCCUCGCGCACAGAUAUGGAGGAACACCCCUGGCGAAAGCGACUUUCUGGGCUGUAACUGACACUGAUGUGCGAAAGCGUGUGGAUCACACACGAUUAUAUACCCUGUGAGUCCCCGCCCCAAACAAUGAGUGCUCAAUGUGAGGGGGUUUCCGCCCCUUAUUGCUGCCGCUAACGCAUUAUUCACUCCCCCUGCUGAGUACGACCGCCACGUUGAUACUCCUCGGAAUUGACGGCGACCCCCCCCACCGGCGCGGCAUGUGGUUUAUUUCUUAGCAGCGCCAAGAACCUUACCACAUCUUGACGUCCUCUGACCCCUCUAGAGAUAGAGUUUUCCCCUUCUGGGGACAGAGUGACAGGUGGUGCAUGGUUGUCGUCAGCUCGUGUCGUGAGAUGUUGGGUUAAGUCCCGCAACGAGCGCAACCCUUGUCCUUAGUUGCCAUCAUUAGGUUGGGCACUCUAAAUUGACUGCCGGUGACAAACCGGAGGAAGGUGGGGAUGACGUCAAAUCAUCAUGCCCCUUAUGACUUGGGCUACACACGUGCUACAAUGGACAAUACAAAGGGCAGCGAACCCGCGAGGUCAAGCAAAUCCCAUAAAGUUGUUCUCAGUUCGGAUUGUAGUCUGCCACUCGACUAUAUGAAGCGGGAUCGCUAGUAAUCGUAGAUCCACAUGCUACGGGUGAAACGUUCCCGGGUCU
Molecule: ribosomal RNA, 1372 nt
Filed under: uncultured bacterium
Lineage: Bacteria
Description: partial 16S ribosomal RNA
Rfam family: Bacterial small subunit ribosomal RNA
Source: RNAcentral